This 882-nucleotide ribosomal RNA is filed under the name Acrobeloides buchneri. RNAcentral describes it as "SSU rRNA". It matches the Rfam family "Eukaryotic small subunit ribosomal RNA", at positions 57 to 945 of the family's 1831-position model. Lineage: Eukaryota; Metazoa; Nematoda; Chromadorea; Rhabditida; Cephalobidae. The record is from RNAcentral.
GUCUAAGUAUAAACGAUUUAAUCGUGAAACCGCGAAUGGCUCAUUAUAACAGCUAUAAUUUACUUGAUCUUGACACAAUCCUACUUGGAUAACUGUGGUAAUUCUAGAGCUAAUACAUGCAUUAAAGCUCUGACCUCACGGGAAGAGUGCAUUUAUUAGAACAAAACCAAGCGGCUUCGGCUGUUUCUGGUUGACUCAUAGUAACUGAGCUGAUCGCAUGGUCUUGCACCGGCGACGUGUCUUUCAAGUAUCUGCCGUAUCAACUUUCGAUGGUAGUGUAUCUGACUACCAUGGUGAUCACGCGUAACGGAGAAUAAGGGUUCGGCUCCGGAGAGUUCGCCUGAGAAAUCGCGAACACAUCUAAGGAAGGCAGCAGGCGCGAAAAUUACCCACUCUCAGCACGAGGAGGUAGUGACGAAAAAUAACGAGACCGUUCUCUUAUGAGGCCGGUCAUCGGAAUGGGUACAAUUUAAACCCUUUAACGAGUAUCUAUGAGAGGGCAAGUCUGGUGCCAGCAGCCGCGGUAAUUCCAGCUCUCAAAGUGCAUAGAAUUAUUGCUGCGGUUAAAAAGCUCGUAGUUGGAUCUGUGCCAUAGGACGUGGUCCACCUUCGGGUGCGUACUACGCUCCUAGGCUUUUUGCUGGUUUUCCCGUCGUAGCCUUCACUGGUUGCGGCGGGUGGCUGGCGAGUUUACUUUGAGAAAAUCAGAGUGCUCAAUACAGGCGUAUCGCUUGAAUGAUUGUGCAUGGAAUAAUAGAAAAGGAUUUCGGUCCUCUUUUAUUGGUUUUGUGGACUGAGAUAAUGGUUAACAGGGACAAACGGGGGCAUUCGUAUCUCUGCGUGAGAGGUGAAAUUCUUGGACCGUAGAGAGACGCCCUACUG